Molecule: long non-coding RNA, 205 nt
Filed under: Zostera marina
Lineage: Eukaryota; Viridiplantae; Streptophyta; Magnoliopsida; Alismatales; Zosteraceae
Description: long non-coding RNA (ZMAR_LNC001338)
Source: RNAcentral
AUUUAUCGAAGCGACGGUCAACAAGACUUUCGGCAAAAAUAGGAAGAAUCGAAUAAUUGGAAUCGGAGAAGCUGCAAGUAUGGUGAGCACAACAAACGAAAGAUGGGCUGCUCCAAAUUGGAAAGGAAAAGAGCCGAUCUCAGAGAGCACGACUGUUGAAGCACCACCAGAUGCAGUAUGGUCGGAAAAAUUCAAAGCAUUGGAG